GCCUGAGUGGCUCAGUUGGUUGGGCGUCUGACUUCGGCUCAGGUCAUGAUCUCAUGAUUUGUGGGUUCGAGCCCUGCGUCAGGCU
This 85-nucleotide transfer RNA is filed under the name Felis catus (domestic cat). It matches the Rfam family "tRNA". Rfam says of the family: Transfer RNA (tRNA) molecules are approximately 80 nucleotides in length. Their secondary structure includes four short double-helical elements and three loops (D, anti-codon, and T loops). Lineage: Eukaryota; Metazoa; Chordata; Mammalia; Carnivora; Felidae. The record is from Rfam by way of RNAcentral.